Molecule: ribosomal RNA, 202 nt
Filed under: Enterococcus faecium
Lineage: Bacteria; Bacillati; Bacillota; Bacilli; Lactobacillales; Enterococcaceae
Description: partial 16S ribosomal RNA
Rfam family: Bacterial small subunit ribosomal RNA
Source: RNAcentral
UUUUAUGAGAGUUUGAUCCUGGCUCAGGACGAACGCUGGCGGCGUGCCUAAUACAUGCAAGUCGAACGCUUCUUUUUCCACCGGAGCUUGCUCCACCGGAAAAAGAGGAGUGGCGAACGGGUGAGUAACACGUGGGUAACCUGCCCAUCAGAAGGGGAUAACACUUGGAAACAGGUGCUAAUACCGUAUAACAAUCAAAACC